This 253-nucleotide ribosomal RNA is filed under the name uncultured bacterium. Its description in RNAcentral is "partial 16S ribosomal RNA". It matches the Rfam family "Bacterial small subunit ribosomal RNA", at positions 524 to 776 of the family's 1533-position model. The record is from RNAcentral.
GACGAACCGUGCGAACGUUGUUCGGAAUCACUGGGCUUAAAGGGCGCGUAGGCGGCCGACCAAGUCCGGGGUGAAAGCCCCCAGCUUAACUGGGGAAGUGCCUCGGAUACUGGAUUGCUCGAGGGAGGUAGGGGUCGAGGGAACUUCUGGUGGAGCGGUGAAAUGCGUUGAUAUCAGAAGGAACGCCGGUGGCGAAAGCGCUCGACUGGAUCUCUUCUGACGCUGAGGCGCGAAAGCUAGGGGAGCAAACGGG